Pelobates cultripes (western spadefoot toad) is the source of this 104-nucleotide non-coding RNA. The record is from the annotation of a GenBank genome assembly. NCBI's taxonomy places the organism in Eukaryota, Metazoa, Chordata, Amphibia, Anura, Pelobatidae.
CUGCGCUCUUUCCACAUCCCUAUGUAUUUUUAAACAAAACAAAACAGGUUUUUAGUUACCUCCAUUUGUUUAAAAAUACAUAGGGAUGUGGAAAGAGCGCAGGU